This is an RNA transcript of Fragaria vesca subsp. vesca, 476 nucleotides long. RefSeq lists it as uncharacterized. The record is from RefSeq and is a predicted model, not a curated record. Lineage: Eukaryota; Viridiplantae; Streptophyta; Magnoliopsida; Rosales; Rosaceae. The transcript is spliced from 3 exons.
GUCUGCUCUCUCAACCCCCAAAUUUUGUAAAGCGAUGGCGAAGAACAGGAACAAGAAGAAACGAAAGGACUCGGAUUCAAUGGACGUGUCGGAAUUGCCCGUUCCAGAUGUGCCUCAAGCAAUGGAUACAUCGGAGUCUGGAGCGCAAAACCCAAGUGGUGCUGCUUCCAAUUUAAAGAUUAAGGGAAGACAAAUGAAGAGAACCAAAAAUGCUCGGAAGAAGAAAGCUGUAGUAAGAGCUAUAUCAAAAAGAGAGAAGUCUGUUGAGAAAGUAUUGAAGAAUGAAAGCAAAACCUUGAGAACUCAAUCUGCAAAAUUGCUGUACGACUAAAUAUUUUGAUUGAGCAUAUUGUGUUCUACUAAGUCACUUAGUUAUCCCUGUAUCGGUUCCUCUUUUGGUAUAAUAUAUGACAUGGUUUCAGGCAUUGUCUGCACUAGUUAUUACCCAAGCGCUGUGGCAUUGGUUAUGCUUCUUU